RNAcentral lists this ribosomal RNA (253 nucleotides) under uncultured bacterium. RNAcentral describes it as "partial 16S ribosomal RNA". It matches the Rfam family "Archaeal small subunit ribosomal RNA", at positions 474 to 727 of the family's 1478-position model. The record is from RNAcentral.
UACCAGCACCCCGAGUGGUCGGGACGAUUAUUGGGCCUAAAGCAUCCGUAGCCGGCCUUACAAGUCCCCCGUUAAAUCCAACUGCUUAACAGAUGGGCUGCGGAGGAUACUAUAGAGCUAGGAGGCGGGAGAGGCAAGCGGUACUCGAUGGGUAGGGGUAAAAUCCGUUGAUCCAUUGAAGACCACCAGUGGCGAAGGCGGCUUGCCAGAACGCGCUCGACGGUGAGGGAUGAAAGCUGGGGGAGCAAGCCGG